RNAcentral lists this transfer RNA (75 nucleotides) under Pedosphaera sp. RNAcentral's name for it is "tRNA-Val". It matches the Rfam family "tRNA". Rfam says of the family: Transfer RNA (tRNA) molecules are approximately 80 nucleotides in length. Their secondary structure includes four short double-helical elements and three loops (D, anti-codon, and T loops). Lineage: Bacteria; Pseudomonadati; Verrucomicrobiota; Pedosphaerae; Pedosphaerales; Pedosphaeraceae. The record is from RNAcentral.
GGACGCUUAGCUCAGUGGUAGAGCAUUACCUUCACACGGUAGGGGUCGCUGGUUCAAUCCCAGCAGCGUCUACCA